UGAACACACUACUGUAAGUCGCUUUGGAUAAAAGUGUCUACUAAAUGGCAUAAA
Molecule: non-coding RNA, 54 nt
Organism: Salmo salar (Atlantic salmon)
Lineage: Eukaryota; Metazoa; Chordata; Actinopteri; Salmoniformes; Salmonidae
Source: Rfam